RNAcentral lists this ribosomal RNA (510 nucleotides) under uncultured bacterium. RNAcentral's name for it is "partial 16S ribosomal RNA". It matches the Rfam family "Bacterial small subunit ribosomal RNA", at positions 28 to 507 of the family's 1533-position model. The record is from RNAcentral.
GACGAACGCUGGCGGCGUGCUUAACACAUGCAAGUCGAACGAAGAGCGAUGGAAGCUUGCUUCUCUCAAUCUUAGUGGCGAACGGGUGAGUAACGCGUAAUCAACCUGCCCUUCAGAGGGGGACAACAGUUGGAAACGACUGCUAAUACCGCAUACGAUCUAAUCUCGGCAUCGAGGAUAGAUGAAAGGUGGCCUCUACAUGUAAGCUAUCACUGAAGGAGGGGAUUGCGUCUGAUUAGCUAGUUGGAGGGGUAACGGCCCACCAAGGCGAUGAUCAGUAGCCGGUCUGAGAGGAUGAACGGCCACAUUGGGACUGAGACACGGCCCAGACUCCUACGGGAGGCAGCAGUGGGGAAUCUUCCGCAAUGGACGAAAGUCUGACGGAGCAACGCCGCGUGAGGGAUGACGGCCUUCGGGUUGUAAAGCUCUGUUAAUCGGGACGAGAGGCCUUCUUGCGAAUAGUGAGAAGGAUUGACGGUACCGGAAUAGAAAGCCACGGCUAACUACGUG